Molecule: ribosomal RNA, 1956 nt
Filed under: human gut metagenome
Description: bacterial LSU rRNA
Rfam family: Bacterial large subunit ribosomal RNA
Source: RNAcentral
UCAUGCUAGAAAGAGCGUAUGGUGGAUGCCUUGGCACUAAGAGCCGAUGAAAGACGUGAUAAGCUGCGAAAAGCUUCGGGGAGGAGCAAAUAUCCUUUGAUCCGGAGAUCUCUGAAUGGGGAAACCCACUUGAGCAAACCUCAAGUAUCCUUAAGCCAAUACAUAACUUAAGGAAGGGAACCCGGUGAACUGAAACAUCUAAGUAGCCGGAGGAAGAGAAAACAACAUGUGAUUCUGUGAGUAGCGGCGAGCGAAAACGGAAGAGCCCAAACCGGGAUGCGUGCAUCCCGGGGUUCGGACCGCAUAAUUGAUUCAACAAAUUUAGCAGAACGGUUUUGGGAAAGCCGGCCAGAGAGGGUGAAAGCCCCGUAAGCGAAAGAUGAGUUGACAUGGCGGUAUCCAGAGUAGGUCGAGACACGUGGAACCUUGACUGAACACGCGGGGACCACCCCGUAAGGCUAAAUACUCCUUAGUGACCGAUAGCGCAUAGUACUGUGAAGGAACGGUGAAAAGGACCCCGGGAGGGGAGUGAAACAGAACCUGAAACCAUAUGUUUACAAGCUGUGGAAGAGCUUUAUAUGCUCAACCGCGUACUUUUUGUAGAACGGUCCGGCGAGUUGCGCUGGCUGGCGAGGUUAAGCACCAAAGGUGUGGAGCCGAAGGGAAACCAAGUCUUAAUAGGGCGAAUGAGUCAGUCGGAGCAGACCCGAAACCGGGUGAUCUAUCCAUGUCCAGGUUGAAGUUGCCGUAAAAGGCAAUGGAGGACCGAACCCACAUCCGUUGAAAAGGGUGGGGAUGAGGUGUGGAUAGGGGAGAAAUUCCAAUCGAACCCGGAGAUAGCUGGUUCUCCUCGAAAUAGCUUUAGGGCUAGCCUCGUUUUAGUCUUAUGGAGGUAGAGCACUGAAUUUCCGCGGGGGCGUCAAAGCUUACCAAAGAAUAUCAAACUCCGAAUGCCAUGUAGAUGAUGAACGGGAGUCAGACUGCACGAGAUAAGUUGGGCGGUCAAAAGGGAAAGAGCCCAGACCACCGGCUAAGGUCCCAAAGUGUGUGUUAAGUGGAAAAGGAUGUGGGAAUUCGAAGACAACUAGGAUGUUGGCUCAGAAGCAGCCAUACAUUCAAAGAGUGCGUAACAGCUCACUAGUCGAGAGUCCCUGCGCCGAAAAUGUCCGGGGCUGAAACACAACACCGAAGCCGUGGACUCCGUAAGGAGUGGUAGAGGAGCAUUCUUAAAACCGACGAAGCUGUACCGGUAAGGAGCAGUGGAGGGAUAAGAAGAGAGAAUGCCGGAAUGAGUAGCGAGAGGAAGGUGGGAAUCCUUCCGGCCGAAUAUCUAAGGUUUCCAGAGUAAAGCUGAUCUGCUCUGGGUAAGUCGGGGCCUAAGGAGAGGUCGCAAGACGUAUCCGAUGGACAACAGGUUUAGAUUCCUGUACCGCAUAUAAACAGAACUGUGGGGACGCAUGUGGAAAGCAUAAGCCGGGAAUGGAAAGACCGGUACAAGCGGGGUAGGUGUGUGACAGGCAAAUCCGUCAUAUAAGCCGAAGACGUGAUGUGGAGCGAAAUUAAGUAGUGAAGUAUGUGAGCCAUGUGCCGAGAAAAGCCGCUAUUGUUUUAUAUGUGCCCGUACCGUAAACCGACACAGGUGGAUGAGGAGAGAAUCCUAAGGCCGACGGAAGAAGCAUUGUUAAGGAAUUCGGCAAAAUGACCCCGUAACUUCGGGAGAAGGGGUGCCCACUGAAUGGUGGGCCGCAGAGAAUAGGCUCAAGCAACUGUUUAGCAAAAACACAGGUCUAUGCGAAACCGAAAGGUGAAGUAUAUGGGCUGACGCCUGCCCGGUGCUGGAAGGUUAAGAGGAGAGGUUAGCGCAAGCGAAGCUUUGAAUUUAAGCCCCAGUAAACGGCGGCCGUAACUAUAACGGUCCUAAGGUAGCGAAAUUCCUUGUCGGGUAAGUUCCGACCC